GAAGAGAGCUGAGGGGAUGAAAGGAACCCAGAACAGUCGCUAGCUGCACUCCCAAAACUAAAAGAGACUUAACAGAUGAAUGAGCGAAGGAGAAAGGAUCGAACCACAGUGCCAGGAGACCGAGUGUCGGGCAGGAACAAAGAAGGACAAAGGAAUAAGGUACCCCACUCCCUCUUCUCCCUCUCAGAAAAGAAUUAAAAGAAAUUAAAAAUCAAGGAAAGAGGAGCGAAAGCGGAGGUGCGGGGGGUGACCUGUUAAAUAAAGAGGACUGUGGAUCUAUGUAAAAGAAACAAAUUUAAAUACUGGAACUAUAGGAAAUAUUUAAGAUCUUAGAACGCUGAAACUCACUUGGAAAGGUGCCAAAUUCCAGAGUGAGGAAGGAAAAUCAGGAGGAGGAGGGCUGACCUUGAGGCCCAAACGAUAGACUAAACACGGCCAUUGCGUCACCGAGACAGCCCAGAGCCCAGAGCCCCGGAUGCAGGAAGGAGGCGGAAAAAACUCAACGGAAGAAGUAGCAAAGAGAAGAAGCAAGAAGGGCAGCUGGGACAGCAUUCCAUAGAGUCUCGGGAGGAUAAAAGGUAAACAGGAAGGUACGGAAGUUGAGGACGGAAAGACGAGAGAGCAGUGAAAGAAGAAAGAAAGACUUGGUGGUAAACUCUGAAAAAGAAGUAGAAGGAGGCGUAAGGGGACGCGAAGAACACGGAGAGGCAAGUGACGAGGACGAGAAGCAGACGAGGCGGAGAAGGAGGAGAAGGAGGACGAGAAUCGGACGGAGUGACCGAGAGAGCACGCCAGGGCGAGCGGGGAAACGAGGACGAGAAGCAGACGGAGCGGAGGAGUAAGGAAAGAAGGAGUGGACGAGGACGAGAAGAAGACGGGUGACAGUGAGAGAAGAGGAGACGGACGAGGAAGAGAAGCGGACGGGGUGGCAGAGAGAGGAGAGAAGGGUGAACGAGGACGAUAAUUAGAUGGAGUGACGGAAAGUUGAAAGCAGAGAGAAAGACAUGAAGAACAGUUGAGGAAAUUUGGGAAAGAGGCUUAAAGUAUUAAUCCCUCCACAAGAGAUUUGGAUAAGAUCAUUAAUUAUAAUAAUAAGAAUUAUUGUUAACGACUUUACACUUGAAUCCAGUUCAUUGAGAUGGCAACUCCAAAGGCGAAGAUGGAUGACAAGAAAAUCUCCUCAAGAAAAGGAUCAAUUCCGGAGGAGGUAAAUCUGAAAGGUAUUAUGAGGGAACUCCAGAGGAUUGUCGAUAACCAAAAAAUGUUUCAGGACCAGAUGACAACGAUGAAAAAAGAUUUAACAGAAGAAUUUACAGAAAUGAAAAAGGAAAUGAAAGACUUGCAGGAAGAUAUCAAAGAAAUAAAAGAAGACAACAAAAAACUAGAAAAAAGACAAGAAAACUUUAAAACAAAACUAGAAAAAUUAGAAUUAAAAAAUACUAAAUUAGAGGAAAGACAGGAAAGACUAGAAAUGAAAGAAUUAGAGUUCCAAAUAAGAAUAAGAAAUAUAGUAGAAGAACCGAAAGAAAAUGUGAAGCAAAUUGUAACUCAAAUUCUAGCGGACUUGCUACAAAUACAAGAUGAAGAAAUGGAAGAUAGCAUAGAAAGAGCUUUUAGAGUAACAAGAAACCUUUCAAGGUAGCAAGAGAUGUAGUGGUCCAUUUUGAGAGAAGGAAAACUAGAGAGGAAGUGUUGAGACUAAGUAAGAAAAACACCAUACGAUUUAAAGGACUAAAAGUAACAAUCCUUAGGGAGCACCCAACAAGUACAAUGAUAAAAAGGAAAAAAUAUCUCUUUCUCACGGAAGAACUUAAAAAGCGUCAAAUUAGAUUCAGGUGGGAAAGACGAGAAGGAAUUAUGGCCACCUAUAAGCAAGAACAACACUGGAUCACCACAGAAGAUAAAGCUAGGGACUUCUACAAAUAUUAAUGAAGGAAAAAACCAAACCUAACCCAAACAUCAGCCCUUCGGAAGAAGAAGUGGAAAGGGAAAAGAAAAGAGCCAGAGCCAUUUCCCCAGAAAAAUACUCCACCAAACUCGCCGCACAACCACAAAAUUUGAUAGACUUAGAAGAAAAAGAGGAAAAAGAAGACUAAGAAUAGAACAUGGAAAUAAAAUGUCACUCAAAUAACAUCAAUGGACUAAAUAUACCGAAUAAAAGAAUUAGAUUAUUUAACCACUUAAAGAAGUCGAAAUUUGAUUUAAUCGCCCUCCAAGAAACACACAUUUCCCACAGACACACUGCAUUAUUAUCCAAUAAAAGUUUAGGUAUUGAAUUUUCCUCUUCAGCAAAGGAAAAAAAAGGGGGAGUAGUAUUAUACAUAAAUGAGAAAUUGAACCCAGAAUUAGCAUUUAAAGACGAAGAAGGCAGAUGGGUAGGUGUAAAGGUCAGGAUAGGGAAUCAGACAACUCUAAUUUGCAAUAUCUACGCGCCCAAUGGAUCAAAAACAACCUUUUUAGAAAAUCUAAAAAAGAAAAUAGAUGAACAAGACUUUGAGGAAUUAGUAAUCUUGGGGGAUUUCAAUGGAAUAAUUGACCCAGAUUUGGAUAAAAAGGGAGGUUCCUCAAUUCAAAAAAGAAAGAAAACACGAUCAGGCAAAUUACCAGCAAAAUUUGUGAAGGCACUGCAAGAUUGGGGAUUAAAAGAUGUAUGGAGGGCCCACCACAAUAAGGAAAGAGACUACACCUAUUUUUCCAAUAGUCACAAUAGUUGGACAAGAAUAGAUAUGGUCUGGAUGACAUUCCCAAUGCUUCCUAAAGUCACAAAAAUAAAAAUUCUUCCCCGAUAUAUUUCGGACCAUUGUCCAAUAGAAUUCACAAUCAAUAGGACACAAAGAAAUUUCAACUGGAAACUUAAUGGAAAUCUCAUUAAAUCAGAAGAAGAUAUCAUAAGAAAUAAAAAAAUUCUCAAGGAAUUUUUCGAAAUAAACAACACAACUGAUGUCCCCCCACAAAUAAUUUGGGACACAAGCAAAGCAUUUAUGCGUGGACACUUUAUCCAACAAAGUGCCCAGAAAAAUAAAAUUAAAAAUAAGUUAAGAAAUAAGUUAAAUGAAGAAAUCCAUAUUAAUGAAAAAAACCUAAAACAAGAACCAACAAAUAGGAAAGUAAAACAAGAAUUGAAAAUUUUGCGAAAACAAAGAGUUUCUAUAGAAUUAGAAGAGACAGCCAAAAAACUAAAAUUUCUAAAACAACAGCAUUUUCAAAAUGCUAAUAAACCUGGAAAAUGGCUAGCUUGGAAACUUAAAAAGAAAAAACAGGCCAGAACAAUAACAGAAAUAAAUUUAGAUGGGAAAAGAUAUACAACAGAACAAGAGAUAGCGGCCCAAUUCAAUAAAUUUUACAGUAAAUUAUAUUCCAAAGACCACAUCAGUAAAGAUAUAAUACUCAAAUUUCUUUGUAACCAAAAAAUGUCUAAAAUAUCAGAAAACCAGAGAGAACUAUUAAACAAAGAAAUAACGGAAAAAGAAAUCCAAAAAGCAAUUAAAAAUAUGGAGGGCAACAAAGCACCAGGUCCUGAUGGAUUAAAUGGAUUAUAUUACAAGACUUUUGCGGAAGAAACGAUCCCUUUUCUAAAAAAAAUCAUGAACGAAAUUUUAGAAAAUAAGAAAAUACCAGAUUCAUGGCGUUAUGCCACAAUAACAGUAAUCCCAAAAGAAGGACAAGACCCAAAAAAUGUCAAAAAUUAUCGACCCAUAUCCUUACUAAAUUCGGACUAUAAAAUCUUUACAAAUAUAUUAGCAGAGAGAAUGAAGGAAUUUCUGACAGAUUGGAUAGGGGAGGAACAAACAGGCUUUUUGCCCAAAAGACAAAUGAGGGAUAAUGUGAGAGAAAUUAUAGACAUAAUUGAACACUACGAAACUACCAAAAAAGAAGAAUUGGCUCUUCUAACAAUAGACAUGGAAAAAGCCUUUGAUAACCUUAAUUGGGACCUUUUCAAAUUAAUGAUAAAAGAAUUGGAUAUGGGAAACAAAUUUACUAACGCGAUUAACCAAAUUUAUUACCAACAAGAAGCUAAAAUAAAAAUAAAUUCUCUUGAAUCCAAAAAUUUCGAAAUUCAGAAAGGAACUAGACAAGGCUGUCCUCUGUCCCCUCUCCUAUUCAUUUUUUCAAUAGAAUUACUAUUAAACAACAUUAGAAAGGACCGCCAGCUAAAAGGUGCUAACAUUAGGAAAUACAAUUAUAAAAUUAGAGCAUUUGCUGACGAUUUAAUUUGUAUAAUAGAGGACCCAAUAAAGACAAUAAACCAUUGGCUAGCCAAAUUUAAAGACUUCGAAGAAAUAUCAGGAUUAAAAAUUAAUAUAGACAAAACUAUGAUAUUAACAAAGAAUAUGACGAAUACCAAACAAAAAGAAUUGACAAAAAUAACAGGUAUCCAAAUUAAAAAAAAGAUUAAAUAUUUGGGAAUAAUAUUAACUGCCAAAAAUUCCCAACUCUUAGAAAAUAAUUAUGACACCAAAUGGAAAGAGAUUAAAAAGGAAUUAGAAAAAUGGAAGUAUCUAAAACUAUCACUUCUAGGAAGAAUUGCUGCAGUAAAAAUGACUAUACUACCGAAAAUGAUAUUUCUUUUUCAAAACAUCCCAAUUAUAAGAAAUUCCCAAAGAUUUAAAAAUUGGAACAAGGAUUUAAGUAAAUUUAUCUGGAUGGGGAAGAAACCUAGAAUUAAAAGAAUUUAUUUGAUGGAUGAAAAAAAAAGAGGGGGAUUAGGCCUACCAAACCUUCAACUUUACCAUGAUGCAUGCGGGUUAAUGUGGGUAAAAGAUUGGGCCACACUCCAAAAAACAAAAAUCAUAACACUAGAAGGGGCGGACUUAAGAACAGGGUGGCAUGCAUACCUAUGGUAUAAUAAAAAAUUAGUGGAAAAAAACGUCGGGAAUCAUUUCAUACGAUCCUCAUUGCUGAAAAUAUGGGAGAAAUACAAGAAGAAAACACCAUUUGAAGACACCAUUAUGGAUCUCCCCGCUAGAAGCAUGCCAAAGAAGGGAAACGAGUAGUGAAAAUUGGCCAAGAUAUAAAGAUAUAUUAAUUAGAAAGAAUAACUCCUACAAUUUGAAAAGUCAGGAAGAACUGAGCAAACAAUUUACAAACAUAGGAUGGUUUCAAUAUUUUCAGAUAAGAGAUGUAUAUAUGAAAGAUAAAGAACUAGGAUUUGAAGACAAAGAAAGGUUUUGGGACAAGAUAAUGCAAUUGGAAAAAAAGAUGAUAUCUAAAAUUUACACAAAAUUAUUAGAAUGGGAAACAGAAACUGAACCAAUCAAAGAGUGCAUGAUAGAAUGGGCGAAAAAAUUGGGGAAACCAAUACAAUUGGCUGAAUGGGAAAAGAGUUGGAACAUUAGACUUAAAUUCACAUACGCAAUAGACAUGAAAGAAAAUUGGGUAGAAAUGUUUUACAGAUGGCAUUGGACACCACAAAAAAUUGCUAAAUUUAACAAUAAGACAUCAAACAAGUGUCGGAAAUGCGAGGAAGAAGUGGGGACCUUCUUUCACUGUUGGUGGACAUGCAAAAAGGCAAAGUCCUAUUGGAAAGAUGUACAUCAAAGAAUCCAAAAGAUGUUGCAGAUUAGAGUUGAUCUGAACCCAAAAUAUUUCCUCUUGGGGAUGUUAAAUAUAGAAAAAGACAGAAACAAGGAAAUUCUAUUUAAUUAUCUUACCACUGCAGCCAGAAUGAAUUUUGCUAAAUUUUGGAAAGAUAAAGAAAUGCCGGAUGUAAGAUGUUGGUUAACAAAGAUCUGGGAAGUAAUGAAUAUGGAUAAAUUAACAUAUUUACUACAAAAUAACGAAGGCAGACCAAAAAAACAGACAAACUGGGAAAUGAUCAAAAUUUAUUUGAAAGAUGAAGAAUAUAGGGUGAUAAUUUAAAAUAUAUGGAAAAUAAGAUUCACAAAACAAUUGAGAGUACAAACAAAUGGAAACACACAAAAUAAAGACCCCGGAUAGAGAUGGUUGAAAGAAUAAGAAAACUCUGUGAAAUUAUGGUUGUAUAAGUCACUCUGCAAAGAUGGAAGUCAAUUUUUAAGAUUUAGUAUGUUUGUUUUUUGUUGUUUUUUAUUUUUUUUUUCCUUUCUUUUUUCUGGUAUGUUCGUUUGCUCCACUGUUACUAUUCUUCCCCCCUCCCCACUCUGUUCUAUACCAAAUUUAUUUUAAUUGUAUGUUGAAAGCACUAAUAAAAUUUAUUUUAACCCAAACUUUGUGUUAUAUCCUUUGACAACUUUUGCUGCAUCUCUUCUCACUAUUAAUUUCACCACGUUUCUUGUUAUAUUUUCAUUUUCUGAGUAAAACUGCAAUUAUUUGAUGCAAAAUGUCCUAUUCCUGCCCACUGUUGCUCACUCAUCCCAAGAAUUACAAUGUUUAUACCUUCCAUUUCUUGUUUUACUAUGUCUAGCUGCUGCUGAUUCAUGCUUUUCACAUUUCCUGUUCCUAUAAUAUGUGUUGUGCAGUUUUGGAAUUUCCUUUCACUUCUUAGAACAUCAAUUAACAGAACAUCCUUCUGACUUGAGUCCAGUUGCACUACUUAAAGCUGCUCAUCUCCAGAAGUCAGUUGAGUGCCUUUCAACCUAUUCACAAGAAGGAAGUGGUAAAGCUGACUAACUAGCAACAGGUUUUCUGAGAAAGAAGCCAAGCCGUUUGGUUCACACCGGAAGAAGUUGCUGCCUUCAGUUUAUUUGCAGUUCUGAAGAAAGCUAAAUUCUAGAAAUUAAGUGGAUCUACUGCUUUUGGUUGCUACUGAGGAGAGUCCUGCAACUGGGUUGGUUUGACUGGCAUGAAUACAUCUGUAACUGGAACCUAAAUG
Molecule: RNA transcript, 6790 nt
Organism: Anolis carolinensis (green anole)
Lineage: Eukaryota; Metazoa; Chordata; Lepidosauria; Squamata; Anolidae
Gene: lcp2
Gene name: lymphocyte cytosolic protein 2
Exons: 2
Source: RefSeq, a predicted model, not a curated record